UUGGCUAACUGAUGUUAUUGUUUACUCCAUGCAAUAUGUCUUGGUACAACACGACCAAUGAAGUGAGCGAUUAGAAGGUUAAAGAGGGUCUUUAUCCUCGUCGUAUCCUUUAUAUGGAAAUCCGGGGCCAGGGGGUCAUUCCCUUGACUCGUACUGAUGAGAAGUUUUUUACUCCACGAGAAAUUGAACAAAAGCUGCCGAAUUGGCCUAUUUCUUGCAUGUACCAAUUGAAGUAUUUUGAGUACCAAUUGCAAUUUUUUGCAAUUGUAAGGGGAUUUUCGAGUAUUUAUCUAAAGUAAAGGAAGGAACAAACGAGGAUAAGAGAAAAUUGCUUCGAAUUUGUUUUGUCCAAGUGAGAUAUAUGGCAUACUAUUCUUCCAUUUUUAUACGAAAGGCCUUUUUUUAUUUCUCUAUUCUACUCCAUUUAGAUCUAAGAAAGAACCCAAUACAAUGAAAUUCCACUAGUAUACAAAAAGAGAAAUAGAUACAAACACAAGGUCUCAAACCUUAUUAUAGAAUUUUUGCUUCAAAGAAAAGAAAUAUCAUAUAUAUUCAGCUUACAGAUCAAAAAUGAAAAAAGUAAGCAUUGCCUUCUUUCUUAUAUCUUGUAUUUAUCGUACUUUUGCCCUGGGGAGUCUCUUUCACUUUUAACAAAUGUCUGGAACUUUGGAUUAAGAAUUGGUGGAAUACCAAGCAAUCUGAAACUUUCUUAACUGAUAUUCAAGAGAAAAGGAUUCUAGAAGGAUUCAUAGAAUUAGAGGAACUUUUUCUCUUGGACGAAAUGAUAAAAGAGAAACCGAAGACACAUGUACAAAAACUUCCUAUAGGAAUACACAAGGAAAUAAUACAAUUGGCCAAAAUAGAUAAUGAGGAUCAUCUCCAUAUCAUUUUGCAUUUCUCAACAAAUAUAAUCUGUUUGGCUAUUCUAAGUGGUUCUUUUUUUCUGUGUAAAGAAGAACUUGUCAUUUUGAAUUCUUGGGUUCAGGAAUUUUUCUAUAACUUAAAUGAUUCAAUAAAAGCUUUUUUUUAUUCUUUUAGUUACUGAUUUUUUGUUGGAUUUCACUCUACCCGCGGUUGGGAACUACUAAUUCGUUGGGUCUACAACAAUCUUGGAUGGGCUCCUAACGAGCUAAUUUUCAUUGUUUUUGUUUGUAGUUUUCCUGUGAUUCUAGACACGUGUUUGAAAUUUUGGGUCUUUUUUUGUUUAAACCGUCUAUCUCCUUCACUUGUAGUCAUUUAUCAUUCAAUUAGUGAAGCAUAAACUCACUCAUUUAAUUUCCUAAUAUUAAUCAAAUUAGCAUAUUUCUUUUCUUCCUUUAGAAAUAGAAAGAAAGUCCUUUUCCUUUUUAACAAAAUUCUUUCUAUUUCUACCUGCUCAAGGUAUUCAUCAUUCUAAUACAACUAUUACAGUAGAAUGACAACAUACUCAUGUAUAGGGAACUAGAUUAGCUUAGCUACCUAUCUAAUUUAUUGUAGAAAUUCCGGGAUCCGCGAUUGGACAUGGAAAAUAGAAAAACUUUUUCUUGGUUAAAGGAACAGAUGAUUCCAUCAAUUUCUGUAUCGAUCAUGAUAUACGUAAUAACUCGCACAUCUAUUUCAAACGCAUAUCCCAUUUUUGCGCAGCAGGGUUAUGAAAACCCGCGGGAAGCAACUGGACGAAUUGUAUGUGCCAAUUGCCAUUUAGAUAAUAAGCCUGUGGAUAUUGAAGUUCCCCAAGCAGUGCUUCCUGAUACUGUAUUUGAAGCAGUUCUUCGAAUUCCUUAUGAUAUACAGCUGAAACAAGUUCUUGCUAAUGGUAAAAAGGGAGGGUUGAAUGUGGGUGCUGUUCUUAUUUUGCCCGAGGGAUUCGAAUUAGCGCCGCCCGACCGUAUUUCUCCUGAGUUGAAAGAAAAGAUAGGAAAUCUCUCUUUUCAGAGUUAUCAUCCCAAUAAAAAAUAUUCUUGUGAUAGGCCCUGUUCCCAGUAAGAAAUAUAGUGAAAUUGUCUUUCCCAUUCUUUCCCCCGAUCCCGCUACAAAAAAUGACGUUCAUUUCUUAAAAUAUCCCAUAUAUGUAGGGGGAAACCGAGGAAGGGGACAGAUCUAUCCAGACGGUAGCAAGAGUAACAAUACGGUCUAUAAUGCUACGUCAACGGGUAUAGUAAAAAAAUACUACGUAAAGAAAAGGGGGAUAUGAAAUAUCCAUAGUGGAUGCAUCGGAUGGACGCCAAGUGAUUGAUAUUAUACCUCCCGGGCCAGAACUUCUUGUUUCAGAGGGGGAAUCAAUCAAGCUUGAUCAACCAUUAACAAGCAAUCCUAAUGUAGGAGGGUUUGGUCAGGGGGAUGCUGAAAUAGUGCUUUAGGAUCCAUUGCGCGUCCAAGGCCUUUUGUUUUUCUUCGCAUCUGUUAUUUUGGCACAAGUUUUUUUGGUUCUAAAAAAGAAACAGUUUGAAAAGGUUCAAUUGUACGAAAUGAAUUUCUAGAUCCUGGGAUUUCUUACCAUCAAGUGAGAAAAAGCCUCGAUUUCUAGAAUUCCUUAUUUCUAUCUCAUGCAAAAGAAGAGGAUCCAAGGCAAAGACGAGAACAAUAAAAGGAACAAGUCCUUUUAGGAGGAAUUGUGGGUCUUCUUAAUGUAACACCCCAGGUGUUACUAGGGCCCUAACUCCCUACUUGUACCCAUGACUUGUUAUCACCUGUGUUAAGUGGAGGAGAGGGAGCCCCAAAACCUUGGAAACCAUGGAUUAACUAAGAAUGUAAAUGACAAAAGCUUCACCCAAACAUUUUGAGCAAUUGUCACCUUGGGCAAAGGAGGCUAAACCCUAGACCCCUUAAAGCACUAGACUUCCAAGCAAGGGAUUAGUGGCCAAGCUAAUCAAAUGGCAAAUUCUUGUUUCUAAUCCUUAACCAAGAUUUAAGUACACUAAUGUAUCUACAAAAACAGUAAAGGAACCUUUGCGAAAAGGCCCCUUAAAGGCCCCUAAUCCAUUCCUUAAGUAGAAAGCACACUAGAGCUCUCUAAUCUUCUCUAAGUCAAAAAUAAACCCUAGUUUAAAGGUCAGACGUGUUCACUUAGUAAAUGGCGCCAAAACCACUUGGUCUGAAUACCAAAAAGGAGCCAAACUACCUAAGGAACCCACUGGAAAAAUUUGAACCUGAGCCAAAUUCGUUUGACACUAUUUGACACCACUUUUGUCUCGGGGUGAACUGUGAGACAACCCAGAUUUGGCGUCCGCAUAUCUUCCUAGCUAGGGCAUAUCUCCCAUUGGAACUCAUAUACAAGAGAUAGCCCUAGGUGCCAGGAAGAGUUCUGCGCAGGAUUUUUGCCAAGAUUCGCACGUUUGCGAUCUCAGCAAGCGUUUGAACAAGGGCAGAAACACACCUCCACGUGUUCGACGCACCCUGACCUCGCUAGAGCACGCCCGACGCCCGACCCCGUGUGCCCCGCGCUGCGCCAAGCCAAGCCUGUACCACUGCCCACGCCCGCGCCUAUAAAGCCAGCCGAGGCUUCAACCGUAUGCCCCCGCUCGCUCUCGACCUCGCCGGAGCGCAAGAUCACCGGCGUUUGCCCUACAAACGGCGUGCGAGCGGCCGCCCGAGCACCCACCACCGUAGAUCGGCCAACUGAGCCCUUUCCAGCCCCUUCCAACCCUCGAAAGAGACUCUGCGUGCCUCGAUGAAGCUCCCCGAGCGAGGAAUCGAGCUCGGCCUCGCCGGAGACACUGAAUCAAGGUCACCGGACUUCACCCGACCGCUGACGAGCGUAAACUGAGCUCCACGGUGAGCCUUUCUUCAAUUCCUUGCACGGGUAGACUCCUUAGCACCUCGUGAAGCUUCCCGUGCCCUUGGAUUGAACUAUAUCAUCGUGGAUAGGCCGGAGCAUCCGCCGCCGACGAGCUCGCCCGCUUGCGCACGUGGACCGGCCGAUUCCGGCCAUCGUCGUCGUCGAGCCGUACCUCGUCGUGACCGCAAGGACUUCCCGGAGCCAACCCCAUCCUUCGCCGGACCUCCCUCACCGCUGGUAAGCCGCGCCGCCCUAUUUAAUUCCGCGGGUACUAUUCAAAAGGGGGGAGGGACCUCGGGGAAGAAGGAAAAGAAAUCAGGGGGGUUUUUGAAUGGUUAGAGACUCAGAUGAAUAGUUGUGCAGGGGUAUAAGUUAAAGAGUUGGUUUAAGAAAAGCCCAGGGUCCUCGGUGUAAACUGGUUUUCCAGAAAACCUUUUAAACAUUUCUCAUUUAAAUACAAAUAGAACUUGUAAAAUUCAUAACUUCAAUUUUAUUCAACCAAAAUUUAGUCAAACCAAUUUUGCCAGGUUCUAAAUAAUGUGAACUACUUAGGAAAAAUACAAAACCCCCAAGUGUUGCAAAAGAAUUUAAAGUUUUGAAUUAAAUAGUGUUCUGGCCAAAAGCUAAAUAAAAGAGGGAAAAAUAGUUACACUGUUAGACUGGGGUUAAGAAAAAUCAGAGAAGUACUUAAUCACUCCCUAAUCUGUUUAAAAAUAGUAAACCCCUCAGUACACUAAAUUAAGGUAGGGUUUACCAUUUAAAUCAUUUUUAGCCCACAGUUAAAGAAAAUAGAAAAGGUAGUUUAAAAUAAGAACCAGGGGGUAACCAUAUUUUUGCUAGCUCACUUAUUUAGUAUAGUUCACUGGAAAAUUUUGUUAGACCCUCUGUUAGUACAAAAUAAAUGCAUUACCUUUUAUUGUAUGAAAACAAUGAAAACUUAGAAAAAUCUUAGAAAAAUAAUCUUGAGGAGAAAACACCCCAAACCUUGAGAUAACUAAUAUUUUAUUAUUAUGAAUAUAGGAAAAAUAUGAGUUCUGUUGUUUGAUAUUUUUCAAAUAACAAGUUAGUUAUAAGUACUAUUUUUGCCUCAAAGGUGAAAGUAUAAGACCCUUAAGUUGUCGGGGACCAUAAUUAGGGGUACCCUAAUUCUCAGCUGGUAACCCCCAUCAGCAUAAAGCUGCUAAGGCCUGAUGGGUGCGAUUAAGUCAGGGAUCGGUCCAUUCGAGCGACUCGAUCACGCCUCGCCCGAGCCUAGCCUCGGACAAGGGCAGCCGACCCCGGAGGAUUUCCGUCUCGCUCGAGACCCCCCUCCAACGGCGAACAUAUUUCCGGCUCACCCGAGGCCCUGCCUUCGCUAAGAAGCAACCCUGACUAAAUCGCCGCACCGACCGACCAAGUCGCAGGAGCAUUUAAUGCAAAGGUGGCCUGACACCUUUAUCCUGACGCGCCCCCCCGGCAGAGCCGAAGUGACCGCCGUCACUUCGCCGCUCCACUGACCGGCCUGAUAGAAGGACAGCGCCGCCUGUGCCACUCCGACUGCAGUGCCACUUGACAGAGUAAGACUGACAGGUAGUCAGGCCCUGCCAAAGGCACCAUAGGAAGCUCCGCUUCGCCCGACCCAGUGCUUGGACUCGGGCUAGGUCCCGGAAGACGGCGAACUCCGCUCCGCCCGACCCAGGGCUCGGACUCGGGCUAAGUCCCGGAAGACGGCGAACUCCGCUCCGCCCGACCCAGGGCUCGGACUCAGGCUAAGUCCCGGAAGACGGCGAACCCCGCUCCGCCCAACCCAGGGCUCGGACUCGGGCUAAGUCCCGGAAGACGGCGAACUCCGCUCCGCCUGACCCAGGGCUCGGACUCGGGCUAAGUCCCGGAAGACGGCGAACUCCGCUCCGCCCGACCCAGGGCUCGGACUCGGGCUCAGCCCCAGAAGACGACGAACUCCGCUUCGCCCGACCCCAGGGCUCGGACUCCGCCCUGGCCUCUGUCGACGACCUCCGCCUUGCCCGAUCCAGGGGCUCGGACUCGGCCUCGGCCAUGGAAGACAGACUCGACCUCGGCUUCGGAGGAGCCUCCACAUCGCCCAACCUAAGGCGCAGGCCAGCCACGUCAACAGGAGGCGCCAUCAUCACCCUACCCCGAGCUGACUCGGGCCGCAGGGAACAAGACCGAUGUCCCAUCUGGCUAGCUCCGCCAGAUAGGCAAUGAUGGCGCCCCGCAUACUCUGUGACGACGGUGGCUCUCAGCCCCCUUACGGAAGCAAGAGGACGUCAGCAAGGACCCAACCGCUCCGACAGCUGUCCCUCCGCCAGGCUCCAUCGCUCCUCCGACGGCCACGACAUCACACCAGCUGGGUGCCAAAAUCUCUCCGGCUGCCACAUCGGCAUGUACUUAGGGCGCUAGCUCUCCCCCGCUAGACACGUAGCACUCUGCUACACCCCCCAUUGUACACCUGGAUCCUCUCCUUACGCCUAUAAAAGGAAGGACCAGGGCCCUCUUAGAGAGGGUUGGCCGCGCGGGGACGAGGACGAGACAGGCGCUCUCUUGGGGCCGCUCGCUUCCCUCUCCCGCGUGGACGCUUGUAACUCCCUACUGCAAGCGCACCCGACCUGGGCACGGGACGAACACGAAGGCCGCGGGAUUCCCACCUCUCUCACGCCGGUCUCCGGCCGCCUCGCUUCUCCCCCCUUCACGCUCGCCCUCGCGCUCGACCCAUCUGGGCUGGGGCACACGGCGACACUCACUCGUCGGCCCAAGGGACCCCCCGGUCUCGAAACGCCGACAUAAGUAUACCCAAAAGAAACCCUAGAGUCCCACUAAGCUUGAUACUAUUUUGCCUUUACAAUUUAUCAUGUCAUUAAUAAGCAUAUAUCUUAUUCAUUGCAUUCGAUAGACUGUAAUCUCGCUGACGGGGAGUACAUCCUCGUUCCGGGGCAAGGAGUUGCUCAGGAGGUAGUCCAAGAGCCAGCACCAAAGCCUGCCAUCGAGGAUCUGCCUGCCCCAGCUUUGGAAGGCAAGCCUCGGUUUUAUGCAUAACCUACUUAUUAUGCUAUUUUACUACACUUAUUGUUUGUAGGAUUGUAAUGUGCACUUAAGUGUAGGAGUUGUGUGGAACCUUAGUUGCAUGAACCCAGGCUUUUCCCUUGUGAUGGAUACUAGUAUGCUAGGUCGAGUAGUUGCUUUACUAAUUAGGGAUCUCGGUAGAAGUCGAGUGAUUUUCUAGCACUCGCGCGAGGUCAGGAAUUGGUUGUAUCCACUUUAAUAACGGAAUAAUGAUGGUCUGUGGACACGGAUCCAUGGGGAUGCGUUGUCUACGAGACGAGAAAUUGGAAUAAGGAUUAACGUGCGGAUACCUGUGUCAAGCAUUUGAACGUACUAAACACAUGCUGAGAAAUAUGGUAAAUCGGUAAGCCUAGUACCUGAGUGAACCUGCCCGCAGAUUGCCCUCCUCACGUGACCUGAGACGUGGUCUCCCAUUCCGGUUAUGGUGGGUACAAGUGCGGUCACUACACGACGGCAGUCGGGAUCAGUGAGGCAUUGUAAGCCAAGGCAGUGAGCCCCUCUCUUCUGGCGGCGGAAUCGACGACGUCUUCCCCGCGUGGUGGAAGAACAACCUCCGAGCUCGUCCCGCUUUCUUCCCCGCCGACGGAGGGGAAGGCAGGGCAGCCAAGGCCAAGCAGAAGGCAGCGCCUCGUCGGCUGUCGAGCAAGUCGAUGGCACCGGCACCCCAACGAGGGGCGCACCGGGUAUCGACUUCGCGCCUGAGACGAAGACGAGCGCCGUCUCCCCGCGACACGCCAAUCCCGAGCAAGCGAACGACGCCAGCGCGCUCGCGGAGAGCUUGCUGGAUGUCACCCUCGUACCUGAGAUGAAGGUGCAGUCAGUCCUCGACGUGACUUCAUCGCCGCUCGUCGACCAAAAGGUACCGACCGAUUCCCAUCCCACGUCAUUUGGAUUCAGCCUCAACCCGCCUAGCGACCUCGCUUUGGCGAACGCUCUCGUAGAGGCGAGUCCAAACCCUCUGGGGUUUCGCAUGCAGUCGCCUUGGGACCGGCUGACGGACGUCUUGACCUACGGGCCCUCUGGGUCCGAGGAAGACGACGAGCCCAGCAUCUGUUGGGAUUUCUCUGGACUUGGCAACCCCAGUGCCAUGCGGGACUUCAUGACCGCAUGUGACUACUGCCUCUCCGACUGUUCCGACGGUAGCCGCAGCCUCGACGACGAGGACUGCGGCCCAAGCCGCGAAUAUUUCCACGUCGAUCUAGGGGGUCCCUCCGAAGGCAAUCAUCUCGACAUGCCGGAGGAUGGUGAUCUCCCUAGGCCGGUGCCCCGCGUUGACAUCCCACGGGAGCUAGCUGUGGUCCCCGUUCAGGCGGGGGGCCAUGACCCACAGCUCGAGCAAAUCCGCGGGGUGCAGGCCAGGCUCGAUGAGGGAACAGGAGCGCUUGAGCCGAUCCGCCGGGACGUCGGGCAGGCAUGGGCGGGCCAACCCCCGGCCGGAGAAAUACGUCAUCUGCCCCAGGGUUUCCAGCGCCGCGUCGCCGACGACGCCGGGGUCAGGCCGCCACCCGCAUCUAGUGGCGUCGGCCAGAACCUGGCUGCAGCAGCGAUGCUUCUCCGCGCGAUGCCGGAGCCAUCCACCACCGAGGUUCGGCGAAUCCAGGGAGAGCUCAAGAAUCUCCUGGAAGGCGCCGCGGUCCGACGGGCCGAGAGCUCUACCUCCCGAAGGCAGGGAUACCCGUCGGAACCUCAUGCCGCGACUUCCCGAUUCAUGCGGGAAGCCUCGGUCUACACCGGGCGCACGCGCAACACCGUGCCUGCGGCCCCGGGCCACCUCGGCAACGAGCACCAUCAUCGCGACCGUCGGGCCCACCUCGACGAGAGGGUGCGCCGAGGCUACCACCCCAGGCAUGGGGGACGCUACGACAGCGGGGAGGAUCGGAGUCCCUCGCCCGAACCGCCCGGUCCGCAGGCCUUCAGCCGGGCCAUCCGACGGGCACCGUUCCCGACCCGGUUCCGACCCCCGACUUAUAUCACAAAGUACUCGGGGGAGACAAGACCGGAACUGUGGCUCGCGGACUACCGUCUGGCCUGCCAACUGGGUGGAACGGACGACGACAACCUCAUCAUCCGCAACCUCCCCCCGUUCCUCUCCGACACCGCUCGCGCCUGGUUGGAGCACCUGCCUCUAGGGCAGAUCUCCAACUGGGACGACCUAGUCCAAGCCUUCGCCGGCAAUUUCCAGGGCACGUACGUGCGCCCUGGGAAUUCCUGGGAUCUUCGAAGCUGCCGGCAGCAGCCGGGAGAGUCUCUCCGAGACUACAUCCGGCGAUUCUCGAAGCAGCGCACCGAGCUGCCCAACAUCACCGACUCGGAUGUCAUCGGCGCGUUCCUCGCCGGCACCACCUGCCGCGACCUGGUGAGCAAGUUGGGUCGCAAGACCCCCACCAGGGCGAGCGAGCUGAUGGACAUCGCCACCAAGUUCGCCUCCGGCCAGGAGGCGGUCGAGGCUAUCUUCCGAAAGGACAAGCAGCCCCAGGGCCACCCAUCGGAAGAUGCUCCCGAGGCGUCUACUCAGCACGGCGCCAAGAAGAAAGGCAAGAAGAAGUCGCAAGCGAAACGCGACGCUGCCAACGCGGACCUUGUCGCCGCCGCCGAGUACAAGAACCCUCGGAAACCCCCCGGAGGUGCCAACCUCUUCGACAAGAUGCUCAAGGAGCCGUGCCCCUAUCACCAGGGGCCCGUCAAGCACACCCUUGAGGAGUGCGUCAUGCUUCGGCGCCACUUCCACAGGGCCGGGCCACCCGCGGAGGGUGGCAGGGCCCGCGACGACGACAAGAAGGAAGAUCACCAAGUAGGAGAGU
This 9618-nucleotide long non-coding RNA is filed under the name Zea mays. Its description in RNAcentral is "long non-coding RNA (ZMAY_LNC002297)". Lineage: Eukaryota; Viridiplantae; Streptophyta; Magnoliopsida; Poales; Poaceae. The record is from RNAcentral.